Molecule: ribosomal RNA, 497 nt
Filed under: uncultured bacterium
Lineage: Bacteria
Description: partial 16S ribosomal RNA
Rfam family: Bacterial small subunit ribosomal RNA
Source: RNAcentral
GAUGAACGCUGGCGGCGUGCCUAAUACAUGCCAGUCGAGCGAACAGACGAGGAGCUUGCUCCUCUGACGUUAGCGGCGGACGGGUGAGUAACACGUGGAUAACCUCCCUAUAAGACUGGGAUAACUUCGGGAAACCGGAGCUAAUACCGGAUAAUAUAUUGAACCGCAUGGUUCAAUUGUGAAAGAUGGUUUUGUUGUAACUUAUAGAUGGAUCCGCGCCGCAUUAGCUAGUUGGUAAGGUACCGGCUUACCAAGGCAACGAUGCGUAGCCGACCUGAGAGGGUGGUCUGCCACACUGGAACUGAGACACGGUCCAGACUCCUACGGGAGGCAGCAGUAGGGAAUCUUCCACAAUGGGCGAAAGCCUGACGGAGCAACGCCGCGUGAGUGAUGAAGGUCUUCGGAUCGUAAAACUCUGUUAUUAGGGAAGAACAAAUGUGUAAGUAACUAUGCACGUCUUGACGGUACCUAAUCAGAAAGCCACGGCUAACUACGUG